This 1089-nucleotide unclassified non-coding RNA is filed under the name Sipha flava (yellow sugarcane aphid). RNAcentral's name for it is "probable Delta(7)-sterol 5(6)-desaturase, transcript variant X3". The record is from RNAcentral. Lineage: Eukaryota; Metazoa; Arthropoda; Insecta; Hemiptera; Aphididae.
GUUUAAGCACUCAUGCUACAGACGUGAAAUUCCGUCAAAUACGAUCACACACUCGACGUUUAAAAUUAGUGGGAGCACAAAAUACGAGUGCUUGUAAACAAUUGAUGUGACGAAAAAAAGAUAAUUUAAUCAAGUAAACGAUUAUACAUACGUGUCAGACUGUAUUGUUUUGUAGUCACGAAGAGAAUAAUAUACUAGUGUUUCGCAAUCUGCAUAAGUUAGCUGACAUGAUCGUUUUUUCGUUGAUUGCCGCCGCUUUCAUGAACGGCGAUUGGUUAGCGGUGGUCGCGCACACUCAAAAGUAUCACGACGCGGAACCACCGAUGUCGUGCACGUCGUUCUUCGAAGAAUUUAAAACACAAUGCUUCUGGGCCAUGGCUGUCGGAUACGUGGAAGUACUACAUCAAGGGUCGCGGCAGGGAAGCCGAGUGGAAGUGCCAGCCGAAACGCCAUCUGCCCCGACACCUGGUGUGGGACCAGAUCAAAUGGGGUUGCAUCGGACUAAUGGCGACGAACGUGGUGUCCGCGGUGAUGGCCACGCACGUCACUUGCGGUGGUUACAGCCAGGUCUAUACGCGAUUCGGCCAGUACCCGUUGUGGUGGUGGGUAAUCCAGUGGCCGGUGAUAUUCGUCCAGCAGGAUUACGUUACGUACUGGAUCCAUCGGUCAUUCCAUUCCAGGUUCCUGUUCAAACACUUUCACAGCAUCCAUCACCGGUACUUUCAACCCACCCCAUGGUCAGUGACGGCGAUACAUCCGUUCGAGAUAAUUUUAGUACAAUUGUUCAUGGUUAUGCCCAUAUUCAUUUAUCCCGUACACUGGCUGCCGUUUUACGGCUUAGCACUGUACACAUACUAUCACGGUAUCGUUCAGCACUCAGGCAUCACUUUCAAAGCUCGCUGGUGGCAGCCUUGGCAACCGGACUGCAUGUUUCACGAUAACCACCAUCAGUACUGUCACGUCAACUACGGUUUUAAUUGCUACUUGUGGGACGAGAUUCACGGAUCCGUGAGAAAAACUGAUCGUUGUUAUAGCACGCACACGGACUCAUGGGGUUCCGGUCGACUGCUGACUGAGCUUUCGGACGAA